AGCUUUAUAUUCAACUUGAUUUUAGAUUGCAAGUCUAAAGGUGUGGCUUUAAGCCUCUAAGGCUU
RNAcentral lists this transfer RNA (65 nucleotides) under Chelonarium sp. BMNH 840450. Its description in RNAcentral is "tRNA-Cys". Lineage: Eukaryota; Metazoa; Arthropoda; Insecta; Coleoptera; Chelonariidae. The record is from RNAcentral.